This 457-nucleotide ribosomal RNA is filed under the name uncultured bacterium. RNAcentral's name for it is "partial 16S ribosomal RNA". It matches the Rfam family "Bacterial small subunit ribosomal RNA", at positions 338 to 795 of the family's 1533-position model. The record is from RNAcentral.
CCUACGGGUGGCUGCAGUGGGGAAUUUUGGACAAUGGGCGCAAGCCUGAUCCAGCUAUUCCGCGUGUGGGAUGAAGGCCCUCGGGUUGUAAACCUCUUUUGUCGGGGAGCAAAAGCCGGACGUGUCCGGCUGUGAGAGUACCCGAAGAAAAAGCAUCGGCUAACUCCGUGCCAGCAGCCGCGGUAAUACGGAGGAUGCGAGCGUUAUCCGGAUUUAUUGGGUUUAAAGGGUGCGCAGGCGGAUUUUUAAGUCAGCGGUCAAAUCGUGGGGCUCAACCCCAUCCAGCCGUUGAAACUGGGGAUCUAGAGUGUGCGAGAGGUAUGCGGAAUGCGUGGUGUAGCGGUGAAAUGCAUAGAUAUCACGCAGAACCCCGAUUGCGAAGGCAGCAUACCGGUGCACAACUGACGCUCAGGCACGAAAGCGUGGGUAUCGAACAGGAUUAGAUACCCGAGUAGUC